This is a long non-coding RNA of Hirundo rustica (Barn swallow), 428 nucleotides long. RefSeq lists it as uncharacterized. The record is from RefSeq and is a predicted model, not a curated record. The transcript is spliced from 3 exons. Lineage: Eukaryota; Metazoa; Chordata; Aves; Passeriformes; Hirundinidae.
CAGGGUCCUAUAAUAAUUUCUCUUUCAGGAAAAAUGUGUAACUUCUGCAGAUAUUUAAGCUCUUUAACCAAAAAACAUGGAAGAAAGCAGCAGGCAGAACAGAGUUUGUGAGGACUGUGAUAAGUCAAAGGACUUUUGAAGAGGAAGAAAAUGUGUGAGCAACAGAACCUGGGAGGGAAUGGAGAAACUGUCACAAAACUACGACUCCAGCUUCUUCCUAGGAAUAAGAGAAGAGAAGAAAGAGGCUGACAGGUUUCAUAAGGAGAAGGAAGACAAAACAGGCUCCUGCCAAGAAGCAACAGAACAGAACUGAUGGCCACAAAAUGUACACUGUGCUCCUGGAAAAUCAUGAGACCUCCAUGAAGCUGCAGGACACCUAACCGAGCACUGCUUCAGACAAGAGCAAGCACAAGAUGGGAAUGCUGGUG